GCAUAAUACCCAUGUCUUGAAAGACAAAGAAAUAGUGAAUGGAGAUCCAGAUUCAGAGACUGAAGACUUGAUUGUCCAGAUUGCUGAUCGUCUCCCAGAUGAUUGUGCUGGCUUCAGCUUUUGCCUUUUUAUAAUCUAAUAUCCACGAAGAAGUCAGAAUGGCCUUUGCAAAACGAAAAUCUGAUGAUGUUACUCCCGCACUAAUUAAGUUCCUCCUGCUUCAACUCUCACAUACCCUUGCAUAAAGUCUAAAGGCUUAAUACAGGUUAGAAAUCCCUUUGGGAACCCUGUGCUCUGAACCACUGUGGCAUGACUCCCCGCAGCUAGUGAGGUGCCCCUGUUACAUGUUGCACAUUCCCUGCGAGAGGACUUACCCCAUUGACUGUCUUUGCUCAGUGCUGUAACAGUCAUCUCCCUAAUGACUGUAGAUUUUGUGAGAGCUGGAGCCACAUUUCCCUUUAUUCAUCUUUGAAUUACUUGCAUCUAGCACCAUUAACAUGUAGUAGAUGCUCAACACAUAAUUGUUGAAUAAAGUAAUGAAUAAAUGAACAAAUACCAUUAAUUACUAGUUACCACUGUUAACUAGCCAUAGUGAUUUUUAUUCUUGUCA
Molecule: long non-coding RNA, 610 nt
Filed under: Homo sapiens (human)
Lineage: Eukaryota; Metazoa; Chordata; Mammalia; Primates; Hominidae
Description: HSALNT0349345
Source: RNAcentral